Molecule: ribosomal RNA, 375 nt
Filed under: uncultured bacterium
Lineage: Bacteria
Description: bacterial SSU rRNA
Rfam family: Bacterial small subunit ribosomal RNA
Source: RNAcentral
AUACGUAGGGGGCAAGCGUUGUCCGGAAUUAUUGGGCGUAAAGCGCGCGCAGGCGGUUCUUUAAGUCUGGUGUUUAAGUGCGGGGCUCGACCCCGUGACGCACUGGAAACUGGGGGACUUGAGUGCAGAAGAGGAGAGCGGAAUUCCACGUGUAGCGGUGAAAUGCGUAGAGAUGUGGAGGAACACCAGUGGCGAAGGCGGCUCUCUGGCCUGUAACUGACGCUGAGGCGCGAAAGCGUGGGGAGCAAACAGGAUUAGAUACCCUGGUAGUCCACGCCGUAAACGAUGAGUGCUAGGUGUCGGAGGGGUCCACCCUGCGGUGCCGAAGUCAACACAUUAAGCACUCCGCCUGGGGAGUACGGUCGCAAGACUGAA